UGGCAGUGAUGACUCUCUUAGGACACCUUUGGAUUAAGCAAUGAAAAUAAUUACUACCUGAGCCAU
Molecule: small nucleolar RNA, 66 nt
Filed under: Monodelphis domestica (gray short-tailed opossum)
Lineage: Eukaryota; Metazoa; Chordata; Mammalia; Didelphimorphia; Didelphidae
Description: Small nucleolar RNA SNORD58 (ENSMODG00000021897.1)
Rfam family: Small nucleolar RNA SNORD58
About the family: snoRNA U58 is found in introns 1, 3 and 6 of the ribosomal protein RPL17 gene in humans.
Source: Rfam by way of RNAcentral